UGGUCAAGUUAUUAAGGGUGCAGGGCGGAUGCCUUGGCACUAGGAGCCGAUGAAGGACGUGAUAAGCUGCGAUAAGCUUCGGGGAGUUGCACGUAAACUUUGAUCCGAAGAUUUCCGAAUGAGGAAACUCACUUAGAGUAAUGUCUAAGUAUCAUUAAGUGAAUACAUAGCUUAAUGAGGGGAACUCAGGGAACUGAAACAUCUAAGUACCUGAAGGAAGAGAAAGAAAUUCGAUUCCGUAAGUAGCGGCGAGCGAACGCGGAUUAGCCCAAACCAAUAAAGUUUUCUUUAUUGGGGUUGCGGACAUAUCAUAACGAAGAGGUAUCGUAAUUGAAGAGGUUUGGAAAGACCCACCACAGAAGGUAAUAGUCCUGUAUGUUAAACGAGAAGACUUCAGAUAUGAUCCAGAGUACCACGGGACACGUGAAACCCUGUGGGAAGCAGGAGGGACCACCCUCCAAGGCUAAAUACUACCUAGUGACCGAUAGCGUAUAGUACCGUGAGGGAAAGGUGAAAAGAACCCCGGGAGGGGAGUGAAAUAGAACCUGAAACCCUGCACUUACAAGCUGUGGAAGCACAUUUCUUGUGUGACCGCGUACUUUUUGUAGAACGGGCCAACGAGUUACGUUAAGUAGCAAGGUUAAGCACUUAAGGUGCGGAGCCGUAGCGAAAGCGAGUUUUAACUGAGCGUUCAGUUACUUGACGUAGACCCGAAACCGGGCGACCUACCCAUGAGCAGGAUGAAGCGAAAGUAAAAUUUCGUGGAGGUCCGAACCCACGAGCGUUGAAAAGCUCGGGGAUGACUUGUGGGUAGCGGUGAAAUUCCAAUCGAGCCCGGAGAUAGCUGGUUCUCCCCGAAAUAGCUUUAGGGCUAGCCUCAAGGUGAGAGAUACGGAGGUAGAGCACUGAAUGUCCUAGGGGGUAUUGCACCUACCGAAGACUAUCAAACUCCGAAUGCCGUCAUCUUAUACUUGGGAGUCAGACUGUGGGUGAUAAGAUUCAUAGUCGAAAGGGCAACAGCCCAGAUCGUCAGCUAAGGUCCCUAAAUGUAAGUUAAGUGGUAAAGGAUGUGGGAUUGCACAGACAACCAGGAUGUUGGCUUAGAAGCAGCCACUCAUUCAAAGAGUGCGUAAUAGCUCACUGGUCGAGUGAUCCUGCGCCGAAGAUUUCCGGGGCUAAAACUUACUACCGAAGCUACGGCAUCAGUAAUGAUGGGUAGGGGAGCUUCCCAUACAGGUUGAAGCAUGACCGUAAGGACAUGUGGACAGUAUGGGAGUGAGAAUGUUGGCAUGAGUAGCGAGAUGUGGGUGAGAAUCCCACAGGCCGUAAACCCAAGGUUUCCAGGGGAAGGUUCGUCCGCCCUGGGUUAGUCGGGACCUAAGCUGAGGCCGAAAGGCGUAGGUGAUGGACAACAGGUUGAUAUUCCUGUACUACCGAUAACCGUUUGAGAGAAGGGAUGACACAGUAGGAUAAGCUAAGCACACUGUUGGUUAUGUGUGCCCAAGCAUUGAGGCAGUCAAAGCAGGCAAAUCCGCUUUGAUAAUGCUGGGAUGUGAUGGGGAGCGAAAUUUAGUAGCGAAGUAGCUGAUUUCACACUGUCAAGAAAAGUCUCUAUCGAGGUUAAAGGUACCCGUACCGCAAACCGACACAGGUGGGUGAGGAGAGUAUCCUAAGGCCAGCGAGAGAACUGUUGUUAAGGAACUCGGCAAAAUGACCCCGUAACUUAGGGAUAAGGGGUGCCACCAUCCGGUGGCCGCAGAGAAUAGGCCCAAGCGACUGUUUACCAAAAACAUAGGUUUCUGCUAAGUCGCAAGACGAUGUAUAGGAGCUGACGCCUGCCCGGUGCUGGAAGGUUAAGGGGAUCUGUUAGAGCAAUCGAAGCAGUGAACUUAAGCCCCAGUAAACGGCGGCCGUAACUAUAACGGUCCUAAGGUAGCGAAAUUCCUUGUCGGGUAAGUUCCGACCCGCACGAAAGGCGUAACGAUUUGGGCACUGUCUCAACAACAGACUCGGUGAAAUUGUAAUUCCGGUGAAGAUGCCGGAUACCUGCGACAGGACGGAAAGACCCCAUGGAGCUUUACUGUAGCUUGACAUUGGGUCUUGGUACUACAUGUACAGGAUAGGUGGGAGGCUUUGAAACCAGGACGCCAGUUUUGGCGGAGCCAUCCUUGGGAUACCACCCUUGUAGUACUGGGACUCUAACCAUAGGCCAUGAAUCUGGUCUUGGGACACUGUCAGGUGGGCAGUUUGACUGGGGCGGUCGCCUCCCAAAAGGUAACGGAGGCGCUCAAAGGUUCUCUCAGUACGGUCGGAAAUCGUACGUAGAGUGUAAAGGCAAAAGAGAGCUUGAUUGCAAGACAUACAGGUCGAGCAAGGAUGAAAAUCGGACUUAGUGAUCCGGUGGUUCUGCGUGGAAGGGCCAUCGCUCAACGGAUAAAAGCUACCCUGGGGAUAACAGGCUUAUCUCCCCCAAGAGUCCACAUCGACGGGGAGGUUUGGCACCUCGAUGUCGGCUCAUCACAUCCUGGGGCUGUAGUAGGUCCCAAGGGUUGGGCUGUUCGCCCAUUAAAGUGGUACGCGAGCUGGGUUCAGAACGUCGUGAGACAGUUCGGUCCCUAUCCGUCGCAGGCGUAGGAAAUUUGAGAAGACCUGUCCUUAGUACGAGAGGACCGGGAUGGACGUACCUCUGGUGUACCAGUUGUCCUGCCAAGGGCAUGGCUGGGUAGCUAUGUACGGAAUGGAUAAGCGCUGAAAGCAUCUAAGCGCGAAGCCAACUUCAAGAUAAGAUUUCCCACCGCAAGGGUAAGACCCCAGAAAGACUAUCUGGUUGAUAGGUCGAAGGUGUAAGUGCAGCAAUGUAUUUAGCUUAUCGAUACUAAUAGGUCGAGGACUUGACCAAU
This 2900-nucleotide ribosomal RNA is filed under the name Clostridioides difficile. RNAcentral describes it as "23S ribosomal RNA". It matches the Rfam family "Bacterial large subunit ribosomal RNA". The record is from RNAcentral. Lineage: Bacteria; Bacillati; Bacillota; Clostridia; Peptostreptococcales; Peptostreptococcaceae.